AUUGUACAUCCUCAUACUGCAGAUACACAUCAGGUGGCAUGAGAAUUAGAAAAUUCAAUCUCAUAAUUAUAGGCUAUGUUUGGGACGAGCGAGCUCGACCUUGAAAAAAUUGACAAGCUGAGCCUAAGCUCUUCAAAGCUCGGCUCGGCUCAGCUUCUUUAUACCACCAUUAACACAGUAAAAUUACUUCAUGGUAACAUGGUUGCCAAUUGUUUUGGCUAUAGUGAGCCUUCCUGCAUUAUCUGAACAACUAGAAAAAGCCUAACAAUAUGCAUCAAUUGGUGACAAUUUUCAAAAGGGAAAAAGCUUAUGAAGUAACUUUGCCUGUAAACUGGAAACAGGACUCUGUGCAUGUAGAGAGUAUGUGUGCCUAUACAUGUGCCUCAUUUGUUGUCUUGCACAAUACUAUGCCUAGACAAUGAGAUCAGGAAAAGGGAAGAUCAGUUAAAAGAGUAAUGAGAAGUGAAUGCUGUUCCCAAGUCAUCCAACUACAACACAAGCUGCAUUUAUCUUAAGGAGAACAUUCUUAUUCUAGUUUCACAUAAAAAAUGUAACCUGCACAGAACUAAUCAUGGAACCUGCAGCAUGCAAGGCCUGGAUGUGAAGCCCUAUACGUAAGAAAGAAAAUGAAAGGCUCAUGGCCAAAAAAAAACCUUAAUCUUUCAAUACAUAUACCUAUCUUAUAGCUUUGCCAAAGGACCAAGACUGGAGAAAACAAAAGCAGCAAUCAUUGUGAGACAAAAGCAAGAAGGAAGGGGGAAAAAUAUGCUCUUAAAGAGCUUAAUAUUUCAGUUAUAAACUUAUCAUCAUACUUAUGUCACUGUUGAGUCAUAAUCAUUGCUCAAAGGUUCAUGGUGAUUAAAUAUGAAAGUCUAAAAUUUUAGUAUAAUCAGUAUUCUCGUAUUGCUUAUAUAUAUGCAUCAGUUUAGAGUUGUGGAUACUGAGAUCUAGAAUAGCUACAUCGGGAAGCAAAAUGUCAUAGCAAAUAAUGUGUCAUGCAUCAAAGAAGAAGAAAGAGCAGCUUUAAGCUUUUCUGUCGAAUAGGAAGAUAUACAACAGAGUACAGAUGCAACAUCUGUCCACACAGAAAAUUUGUGAUACAUAAUUGAGGGCAUAUGUAUACUUCUUCCAGGAAUCAGAAAAAUUAAUAUUGUUCCCAAAACGUCCGAACGCAACAUAUGCACAUCAUUGGCUGCACCGGUUUUAAGAGGAACAUUGUUUUAACUCCACAUCAACAAUGUCGCAAACCAAACUUGCAACCUAACUUAUUAAAAAUUGCAUGUGAAGUAUUUACACACAAAGAAAAUGAACCAAUCAUAGCAAAAAGAAAUGCAAAGCUUCAUUCAUUCUAUGGGUUUUGAUCCUCUAAACCCCCCCCCAAAGUAAAAAAGAUGAAUUCGGAAGAAAAAUGAAAUCAAUUAGUGAAUCCUUUAAUGUCAAUUACCCACAAUAUGUCAAACACCAAAGGAUAAUCAAACCAUUAAAUUCAAUCAACUAAGCAGAUCAACGGGCAGGAUAGAAAAGGAAAACAAAUGAAAUGACAAAGAAAAAACCAAAAAGGAGGCGAUGAAUGGAAAUAUUUAAAAACCUGUCUCGCACUUGAAGCUGCUCGAUUACGGCUGCCAUGCGCCUCUGGUCUUCUUCAGGUAGA
This 1651-nucleotide unclassified non-coding RNA is filed under the name Hevea brasiliensis (rubber tree). The record is from RNAcentral. Lineage: Eukaryota; Viridiplantae; Streptophyta; Magnoliopsida; Malpighiales; Euphorbiaceae.